ACAUCUUCUAAUUUUUUGGCGACCGUUCCCACGAACAUGAAAUUGGAAAUAUCUCCAUCUAGCAAUUUCUGAACUUGUUGUGCACCAUCUCUUUCGAGCUCCUCUGCUUCGGUUAUCAUCGCUUCCACCAUCGAAACCCACAAUCGAACUUGUUGCAGAGCCUUCCUUUGUUGUCCUUCUUCUAAGUCAACCUUCCGCUUCACA
RNAcentral lists this unclassified non-coding RNA (204 nucleotides) under Hevea brasiliensis (rubber tree). Lineage: Eukaryota; Viridiplantae; Streptophyta; Magnoliopsida; Malpighiales; Euphorbiaceae. The record is from RNAcentral.